This 506-nucleotide ribosomal RNA is filed under the name uncultured bacterium. Its description in RNAcentral is "partial 16S ribosomal RNA". It matches the Rfam family "Bacterial small subunit ribosomal RNA", at positions 29 to 523 of the family's 1533-position model. The record is from RNAcentral.
AUUGAACGCUGGCGGCAGGCCUAACACAUGCAAGUCGGACGGUAGCACAGAGGAGCUUGCUCCUCGGGUGACGAGUGGCGGACGGGUGAGUAAUGUCUGGGGAUCUGCCCGAUAGAGGGGGAUAACCACUGGAAACGGUGGCUAAUACCGAAUAACGUCGCAAGACCAAAGAGGGGGACCUUCGGGCCUCUCACUAUCGGAUGAACCCAGAUGGGAUUAGCUAGUAGGCGGGGUAGUGGCCCACCUAGGCGACGAUCCCUAGCUGGUCUGAGAGGAUGACCAGCCACACUGGAACUGAGACACGGUCCAGACUCCUACGGGAGGCAGCAGUGGGGAAUAUUGCACAAUGGGCGCAAGCCUGAUGCAGCCAUGCCGCGUGUAUGAAGAAGGCCUUCGGGUUGUAAAGUACUUUCAGCGGGGAGGAAGGCGAUAAGGUUAAUAACCUUGUCGAUUGACGUUACCCGCAGAAGAAGCACCGGCUAACUCCGUGCCAGCAGCCGCCGUAA